Molecule: ribosomal RNA, 484 nt
Filed under: uncultured bacterium
Lineage: Bacteria
Description: bacterial SSU rRNA
Rfam family: Bacterial small subunit ribosomal RNA
Source: RNAcentral
GACGAACGCUGGCGGCGUGCUUAACACAUGCAAGUCGAACGGAGAAUUUAUUUCGGUAAAUUCUUAGCGGCGGACGGGUGAGUAACACGUGGGCAACCUGCCUUGAAGUGGGGGAUAACACCGGGAAAUCGGUGCUAAUACCGCAUAACAUACACAAACUGCAUGGUAAGUGUAUCAAAGGAGCAAUCCGCUUUAAGAUGGGCCCGCGGCUGAUUAGCUAGUUGGUAAGGUAACGGCUUACCAAGGCGACGAUCAGUAGCCGACCUGAGAGGGUGACCGGCCACACUGGAACUGAGACACGGUCCAGACUCCUACGGGAGGCAGCAGUGGGGAAUUUGGACAAUGGCGCAAGCCUGAUCCAGCAAUGCCGCGUGCAGGAAGAAGGCCUUCGGGUUGUAAACUGCUUUUGUACGGACGAAACGGCUCUGGUUAAUACCUGGGGCUAAUGACGGUACCGUAAGAAUAAGCACCGGCUAACUACGUG